RNAcentral lists this ribosomal RNA (113 nucleotides) under Erinaceus europaeus (western European hedgehog). Lineage: Eukaryota; Metazoa; Chordata; Mammalia; Eulipotyphla; Erinaceidae. The record is from RNAcentral.
GUGUAUGGCCAUACCACCCUGAACACACCCGAUCUCAUAAGCUAAGCAGGGUCAGACCUGGCUAGUACUUGGAUGGGAGACCUCUCCUAGCCACCAAAUGGAAGAUGGAUUUU